CCCUUAGAUGUCCUGGGCCGCACGCGCGUUACACUGAUGCAUUCAACGAGCUUAUAACCUUGGCCGAGAGGCCUGGGCAAUCUUGUUAACGUGCAUCGUGAUAGGGAUAGAUUAUUGAAAUUAUUAAUCUUGAACGAGGAAUUCCUAGUAAACGCAGAUCAUCAAUCUGCAUUGAUUACGUCCCUGCCCUUUGUACACACCGCCCGUCGCACCUACCGAUUGGAUGGUCCGGUGAAGCUUUGGGAUCUGAGCGGAAAGAGCGUUUCGCUGUUUCUGCUCGGAAAACUCAGUCGAACCUUAUCAUUUAGAGGAAGGAGAAGUCGUAACA
This 328-nucleotide ribosomal RNA is filed under the name uncultured eukaryote. RNAcentral describes it as "partial 18S ribosomal RNA". It matches the Rfam family "Eukaryotic small subunit ribosomal RNA", at positions 1470 to 1796 of the family's 1831-position model. The record is from RNAcentral.